CCUACGGGUGGCAGCAGUGGGGAAUAUUGCACAAUGGGCGCAAGCCUGAUGCAGCCAUGCCGCGUGUGUGGAGAAGGCCUUCGGGUUGUAAAGCACUUUCAGCGGGGAGGAAGGCGUUAAGGUUAAUAACCUUGUCGAUUGACGUUACCCGCAGAAGAAGCACCGGCUAACUCCGUGCCAGCAGCCGCGGUAAUACGGAGGGUGCAAGCGUUAAUCGGAAUUACUGGGCGUAAAGCGCACGCAGGCGGUCUGUCAAGUCGGAUGUGAAAUCCCCGGGCUCAACCUGGGAACUGCAUUCGAAACUGGCAAGCUAGAGUCUUGUAGAGGGGGGUAGAAUUCCAGGUGUAGCGGUGAAAUGCGUAGAGAUCUGGAGGGAUACCGGUGGCGAAGGCGGCCCCCUGGACAAAGACUGACGCUCAGGUGCGAAAGCGUGGGGAGCAAACAGGAUUAGAUACCCUAGUAGUC
This 465-nucleotide ribosomal RNA is filed under the name uncultured Klebsiella sp. RNAcentral describes it as "bacterial SSU rRNA". It matches the Rfam family "Bacterial small subunit ribosomal RNA", at positions 338 to 795 of the family's 1533-position model. The record is from RNAcentral. Lineage: Bacteria; Pseudomonadati; Pseudomonadota; Gammaproteobacteria; Enterobacterales; Enterobacteriaceae.